UUAAACAUCCAUGGUGAAAAGGCAUAUAUUAAAACAUUGAUUUUGGGAUUUUAUUUUUCAAUAU
Molecule: long non-coding RNA, 64 nt
Organism: Etheostoma spectabile (orangethroat darter)
Lineage: Eukaryota; Metazoa; Chordata; Actinopteri; Perciformes; Percidae
Exons: 3
Source: RefSeq, a predicted model, not a curated record